RNAcentral lists this ribosomal RNA (462 nucleotides) under uncultured bacterium. Its description in RNAcentral is "partial 16S ribosomal RNA". It matches the Rfam family "Bacterial small subunit ribosomal RNA", at positions 28 to 507 of the family's 1533-position model. The record is from RNAcentral.
GACGAACGCUGGCGGCGUGCUUAACACAUGCAAGUCGAACGGAAAGGCCCUUCGGGGUACUCGAGUGGCGAACGGGUGAGUAACACGUGGGUGAUCUGCCCUGCACUUUGGGAUAAGCCUGGUAAACUGGGUCUAAUACCGAAUAGGACCACGCGCUUCAUGGUGUGUGGUGGAAAGCUUUUGCGGUGUGGGAUGGGCCCGCGGCCUAUCAGCUUGUUGGUGGGGUAAUGGCCUACCAAGGCGACGACGGGUAGCCGGCCUGAGAGGGUGACCGGCCACACGGGGACUGAGAUACGGCCCAGACUCCUACGGGAGGCAGCAGUGGGGAAUAUUGCACAAUGGGCGCAAGCCUGAUGCAGCGACGCCGCGUGAGGGAUGACGGCCUUCGGGUUGUAAACCUCUUUCAAUAGGGACGAAGCGCAAGUGACGGUACCUAUAGAAGAAGCACCGGCCAACUACGUG